This 3018-nucleotide ribosomal RNA is filed under the name Bacillus cereus. Its description in RNAcentral is "23S ribosomal RNA". The record is from RNAcentral. Lineage: Bacteria; Bacillati; Bacillota; Bacilli; Caryophanales; Bacillaceae.
UUUGGUUAAGUUAGAAAGGGCGCACGGUGGAUGCCUUGACACUAGGAGUCGAUGAAGGACGGGACUAACGCCGAUAUGCUUCGGGGAGCUGUAAGUAAGUUAGAAAGGGCGCACGGUGGAUGCCUUGACACUAGGAGUCGAUGAAGGACGGGACUAACGCCGAUAUGCUUCGGGGAGCUGUAAGUAAGCUUUGAUCCGAAGAUUUCCGAAUGGGGAAACCCACCAUACGUAAUGGUAUGGUAUCCUUAYCUGAAUACAUAGGRUAAGGAAGACAGACCCAGGGAACUGAAACAUCUAAGUACCUGGAGGAAGAGAAAGCAAAUGCGAUUUCCUGAGUAGCGGCGAGCGAAACGGAACAUAGCCCAAACCAAGAGGCUUGCCUCUUGGGGUUGUAGGACAUUCUAUACGGAGUUACAAAGGAACGAGGUAGACGAAGCGACCUGGAAAGGUCCGUCGUAGAGGGUAAYAACCCCGUAGUCGAAACUUCGUUCUCUCUUGAAUGUAUCCUGAGUACGGCGGAACACGUGAAAUUCCGUCGGAAUCUGGGAGGACCAUCUCCCAAGGCUAAAUACUCCCUAGUGAUCGAUAGUGAACCAGUACCGUGAGGGAAAGGUGAAAAGCACCCCGGAAGGGGAGUGAAAGAGAUCCUGAAACCGUGUGCCUACAAAUAGUCAGAGCCCGUUAACGGGUGAUGGCGUGCCUUUUGUAGAAUGAACCGGCGAGUUACGAUCCCGUGCGAGGUUAAGCUGAAGAGGCGGAGCCGCAGCGAAAGCGAGUCUGAAUAGGGCGUUUAGUACGUGGUCGUAGACCCGAAACCAGGUGAUCUACCCAUGUCCAGGGUGAAGUUCAGGUAACACUGAAUGGAGGCCCGAACCCACGCACGUUGAAAAGUGCGGGGAUGAGGUGUGGGUAGCGGAGAAAUUCCAAUCGAACCUGGAGAUAGCUGGUUCUCCCCGAAAUAGCUUUAGGGCUAGCCUUAAGUGUAAGAGUCUUGGAGGUAGAGCACUGAUUGGACUAGGGGUCCUCAUCGGAUUACCGAAUUCAGUCAAACUCCGAAUGCCAAUGACUUAUCCUUAGGAGUCAGACUGCGAGUGAUAAGAUCCGUAGUCAAAAGGGAAACAGCCCAGACCGCCAGCUAAGGUCCCAAAGUGUGUAUUAAGUGGAAAAGGAUGUGGAGUUGCUUAGACAACUAGGAUGUUGGCUUAGAAGCAGCCACCAUUUAAAGAGUGCGUAAUAGCUCACUAGUCGAGUGACUCUGCGCCGAAAAUGUACCGGGGCUAAAUACACCACCGAAGCUGCGGAUUGAUACCAAUGGUAUCAGUGGUAGGGGAGCGUUCUAAGGACAGUGAAGUCAGACCGGAAGGACUGGUGGAGUGCUUAGAAGUGAGAAUGCCGGUAUGAGUAGCGAAAGACGGGUGAGAAUCCCGUCCACCGAAUGCCUAAGGUUUCCUGAGGAAGGCUCGUCCGCUCAGGGUUAGUCAGGACCUAAGCCGAGGCCGACAGGCGUAGGCGAUGGACAACAGGUUGAUAUUCCUGUACCACCUCUUUAUCGUUUGAGCAAUGGAGGGACGCAGAAGGAUAGAAGAAGCGUGCGAUUGGUUGUGCACGUCCAAGCAGUUAGGCUGAUAAGUAGGCAAAUCCGCUUAUCGUAAAGGCUGAGCUGUGAUGGGGAAGCUCCUUAUGGAGCGAAGUCUUUGAUUCCCCGCUGCCAAGAAAAGCUUCUAGCGAGAUAAAAGGUGCCUGUACCGCAAACCGACACAGGUAGGCGAGGAGAGAAUCCUAAGGUGUGCGAGAGAACUCUGGUUAAGGAACUCGGCAAAAUGACCCCGUAACUUCGGGAGAAGGGGUGCUUUCUUAACGGAAAGCCGCAGUGAAUAGGCCCAAGCGACUGUUUAGCAAAAACACAGCUCUCUGCGAAGCCGUAAGGCGAAGUAUAGGGGGUGACACCUGCCCGGUGCUGGAAGGUUAAGGAGAGGGGUUAGCGUAAGCGAAGCUCUGAACUGAAGCCCCAGUAAACGGCGGCCGUAACUAUAACGGUCCUAAGGUAGCGAAAUUCCUUGUCGGGUAAGUUCCGACCCGCACGAAAGGUGUAACGAUUUGGGCACUGUCUCAACCAGAGACUCGGUGAAAUUAUAGUACCUGUGAAGAUGCAGGUUACCCGCGACAGGACGGAAAGACCCCGUGGAGCUUUACUGUAGCCUGAUAUUGAAUUUUGGUACAGUUUGUACAGGAUAGGCGGGAGCCUUUGAAACCGGAGCGCUAGCUUCGGUGGAGGCGCUGGUGGGAUACCGCCCUGACUGUAUUGAAAUUCUAACCUACGGGUCUUAUCGACCCGGGAGACAGUGUCAGGUGGGCAGUUUGACUGGGGCGGUCGCCUCCUAAAGUGUAACGGAGGCGCCCAAAGGUUCCCUCAGAAUGGUUGGAAAUCAUUCGUAGAGUGCAAAGGCAUAAGGGAGCUUGACUGCGAGACCUACAAGUCGAGCAGGGACGAAAGUCGGGCUUAGUGAUCCGGUGGUUCCGCAUGGAAGGGCCAUCGCUCAACGGAUAAAAGCUACCCCGGGGAUAACAGGCUUAUCUCCCCCAAGAGUCCACAUCGACGGGGAGGUUUGGCACCUCGAUGUCGGCUCAUCGCAUCCUGGGGCUGUAGUCGGUCCCAAGGGUUGGGCUGUUCGCCCAUUAAAGCGGUACGCGAGCUGGGUUCAGAACGUCGUGAGACAGUUCGGUCCCUAUCCGUCGUGGGCGUAGGAAAUUUGAGAGGAGCUGUCCUUAGUACGAGAGGACCGGGAUGGACGCACCGCUGGUGUACCAGUUGUUCUGCCAAGGGCAUAGCUGGGUAGCUAUGUGCGGAAGGGAUAAGUGCUGAAAGCAUCUAAGCAUGAAGCCCCCCUCAAGAUGAGAUUUCCCAUAGCGUAAGCUAGUAAGAUCCCUGAAAGAUGAUCAGGUUGAUAGGUUCGAGGUGGAAGCAUGGUGACAUGUGGAGCUGACGAAUACUAAUAGAUCGAGGACUUAACCAUAUAA